This is a long non-coding RNA of Polypterus senegalus (gray bichir), 506 nucleotides long. RefSeq lists it as uncharacterized. The record is from RefSeq and is a predicted model, not a curated record. The transcript has 4 exons. Lineage: Eukaryota; Metazoa; Chordata; Cladistia; Polypteriformes; Polypteridae.
AAACAUAGUUUUAUCAAUUAUACUGAUACUGAUACUGAUACUGAUAGCUUUGUACAUAAGGUAUCACAGAGAAAAGCUUUGUAUGAAAGCUAAAUAUCAUUUAACAAGUGAACAGAUUGAGGAAGGUGGAGUAUCCCAGACGCUGAAUGGAUUCAAGAAUAUUAAGAAUUCUGCAGAGUUGGAUCCUGAAAAUGUUUGAUGUAACGUGAUGCAGUCCUGAUGUUCUACUCCUGGAUACUUUACUUGAAGGAAACUCCUACCUCGCUGGACCUCCAUACACAGCAGAGCUCUUAGUGUGACCUGUGACGUAAUUAAGUGACAGUUUGAUUCUUCACCGGUCUGUGAAUGUGCCACACUUGCCAGGUCUUUUUAAGUCUAUUAUCAUAAGAAGUUGUGCAUAAUAAUGAAAUAAGGAUCAUGUACUGUAUGUUCAGUGUUCUAUGAUGACUACGUGGCAACUUAAAAUUUCAUUGAUAACAAAAAAAAAACCAUUUCUUAUUAUAAUA